GCUGUCUUGUAAGGGGCACAGCAGCAACCCCAGGACACUGAGGGCAGAGCCUCCAGGACCCAUCACUGGAGAUGACUGCCUGGGAAGACUCACUUCACCGUUAGAGAAGUGUGGCCUUCCCUGGUGGCUCUAGGUUCACAGUACACAGAAUUACCUGCUUUGAGGCAACGCUUCUCUUACCAAGUAGUGACUUAAGAAACAAGAUGUAUGUAAUACUAGUGCCUGGGAAGGAAAAACCACCAAGUAUGGAAGAGAUCAGUUAUGACAGCAGACAGGCUCUUUCACAAAGUAUACUGAAGGAUUCCUGAGUCACCGCCUAGGAUGGCUCCUCCAGCUGCAGUCCAAGAUUCAUCUCCCCUGGGCACUGCAGCAUGAAGACUGUCAGCCCAUUCUCUCCAGUCCAAAGGCUGCUUUUGA
Molecule: long non-coding RNA, 417 nt
Filed under: Pan troglodytes (chimpanzee)
Lineage: Eukaryota; Metazoa; Chordata; Mammalia; Primates; Hominidae
Description: long non-coding RNA NONPTRT012938
Source: RNAcentral